This 253-nucleotide ribosomal RNA is filed under the name uncultured bacterium. RNAcentral's name for it is "partial 16S ribosomal RNA". It matches the Rfam family "Bacterial small subunit ribosomal RNA", at positions 524 to 776 of the family's 1533-position model. The record is from RNAcentral.
UACGGAGGGUGCAAGCGUUAUCCGGAUUUACUGGGUGUAAAGGGAGCGUAGACGGCAAUAUUAGUCUGAUGUGAAAGGCCGGGGCCCAACCCCGGGACUGCAUUGGAAACUGUAGAGCUGGAGUGCAGGAGAGGUAAGCGGAAUUCCUAGUGUAGCGGUGAAAUGCGUAGAUAUUAGGAGGAACACCGGCGGCGAAGGCGGCUUACUGGACUGUAACUGACGUUGAGGCUCGAAAGCGUGGGGAGCAAACAGG